RNAcentral lists this long non-coding RNA (361 nucleotides) under Manihot esculenta (cassava). RNAcentral describes it as "long non-coding RNA (MESC_LNC007415)". Lineage: Eukaryota; Viridiplantae; Streptophyta; Magnoliopsida; Malpighiales; Euphorbiaceae. The record is from RNAcentral.
AACAAUCAUGCAAAAACAUGCAAAGGAAGGCUGAACAGGGCACUUUCGGCGGCAGGUUCGGCGGCCGAAAGUCCCUCCAGAGCCGAAAGUCAGGCAGGUUCGGCGGCACCUUCGGCGGCCGAAACUCCCAGAUAGAGACGAAAGUCUCCUUUCGGGGGCAGGCUUCGGCAGCCGAAAGGCUUGCCUCCCCAGCUAUAUUCGGCGGCCGAAAGUCCUUCGGCUGCCGAACCUGGUUUCUGCCAAAGGGCAGAAACUUGGCUCCUCUAUGCACAUACACCUCCCAAUCCAAACCAAACAUGCAUAAACCUAUUCUACAACACACAUACACAAGCAUACAAGCUCCUAGGGGUUUCAAACCAUC